This 73-nucleotide transfer RNA is filed under the name Bacillota bacterium. RNAcentral describes it as "tRNA-His". It matches the Rfam family "tRNA". Rfam says of the family: Transfer RNA (tRNA) molecules are approximately 80 nucleotides in length. Their secondary structure includes four short double-helical elements and three loops (D, anti-codon, and T loops). Further hydrogen bonds mediate the characteristic L-shaped molecular structure. tRNAs have two regions of fundamental functional importance: the anti-codon, which is responsible for specific mRNA codon recognition, and the 3' end, to which the tRNAs corresponding amino acid is attached (by aminoacyl-tRNA synthetases). tRNAs cope with the degeneracy of the genetic code in two manners: having more than one tRNA (with a specific anti-codon) for a particular amino acid; and 'wobble' base-pairing, i.e. permitting non-standard base-pairing at the 3rd anti-codon position. The record is from RNAcentral. Lineage: Bacteria; Bacillati; Bacillota.
GUGAGUGUAGUUCAGUGGUUAGAGCGCCAGAUUGUGGAUCUGGAUGUCGUGGGUUCAAAUCCCACCACUCACC